Molecule: long non-coding RNA, 954 nt
Organism: Bombina bombina (fire-bellied toad)
Lineage: Eukaryota; Metazoa; Chordata; Amphibia; Anura; Bombinatoridae
Exons: 2
Source: RefSeq, a predicted model, not a curated record
GCAGAGAGUGGCAGUGAGAGGCGCUACGUCGAGGAGAGCAGCCAGCCAGGUCUAGAACAAGAAGACAAGUGAAGUUAAAAAGUGGCAUUGAAAGUUUAAGCUGAGAAGAUAGACAAGUGCUCCUCAAGAAGCCCCUCACUUGGGUCGCCCAACAAUAGUUGCCACAAAAGAAGCCAUGAAGAAAAUUUGUGACAUAUUUAUUGGUUAAUUAAGACAGAGCCUAUGCAAAAUAGCUGUGUUCACAGUGUAAGACAAUUUUAAAAGAUGGCUUUUAACCAUGAGAAAAUUGUCAGCACCAUGGCUUCCCAAAAUGUUGUCUGUAGAACAGACAGUGGGUGGUCAGUUUCACAAGAACGUCUGACAAGAAAAUAAAGGUAACCUAAAGAUUUCUAUAGUUGAUUUAUCACUGUAGUUGUGGAUACACCACUCUUAUCCUGAUACAACAGCACAAUCUAAAAUGUGGAACUACGGUUGAUCUCCUACCGCUUGGAAAUGUAACAUCCAAGUGCUGGCAAACGUUUGGAAUCUGUGAUUUGGGAUGCAUAGGGAAUUUAGAUGAUUGACAGCUUGCAGCAUGGAGAGACCAUAACAGGUAACUACUGAACCAAAUUGAAUGGAAAUUAAUGCAAAGCAAUUAAAGGAUAGAGAUAUGGAAAGCUUAGAAAGUGCUGUUGAUCCAAGACAAUGUUCAAAUGCACAAGUCUUUGUUCACCACUGCUGAAGCUGGAUUCAAAUUUCUGGAUCAACCCCCAUAUUCACCAGACCUUGUCCCCAGUGACUUUUACCAGUUCCCAUGUUUGAAAGAUUACUUGCAAAUAAUACAGAGAAGGUGGCUGUUUGUGACUCGCUACACAGUCAAGAAUAACCUUUGUUUUUAGAAGGCAUAAAACAUUGUUUGCAGGAGUGUGUUGAGCUUAAGGGGGAUUACAUUAAAAAUAAAAAGAUAAAAUAAUA